CCUACGGGGGGCAGCAGUCGGGAAUAUUGCGCAAUGGAGGAAACUCUGACGCAGUGACGCCGCGUAUAGGAAGAAGGUUUUCGGAUUGUAAACUAUUGUCGUUAGGGAAGAUAAAAGACUGUACCUAAGGAGGAAGCCCCGGCUAACUAUGUGCCAGCAGCCGCGGUAAUACAUAGGGGGCAAGCGUUAUCCGGAAUUACUGGGUGUAAAGGGAGCGUAGGCGGGGAUGCAAGUUGGGGGUCAAAACUACCGGCUCAACUGGUAGUCGCACUCAAAACUGCAGCUCUUGAGUGAAGUAGAGGCAG
Molecule: ribosomal RNA, 305 nt
Filed under: uncultured bacterium
Lineage: Bacteria
Description: bacterial SSU rRNA
Rfam family: Bacterial small subunit ribosomal RNA
Source: RNAcentral